UAUUACGUACAGAGUGGGGCAAAAAAAUUUCUACAUAGGAAGCAAUGUGUACGGUAGAUGCGAGGUGGUAGCUACGGAAUGGGUGGUGCAGGAGGUGCUCAAGUUUCAGUGCUUUCAACCUACCAUCUACAAUUUCUUGCAGUAUAACUUUUUAUUCUUUCAGCACAAAUAUGACCUGAAAUUCAGCAUAAAUUAAAGGUAUUACCUAAAAGCAGCUAAUGCUGAUGCAGAGGUUCAGAAGAGGGUCAAGUAUCUGGCAGAGCUGGCACUGUCAGGUCAUGAGCAACUGUGCUACCGGCCUUCAACAGUUGCUGCAGCACUUGUAAUCCUGGCUUGUCUUGAAGUCAAUCAAAUUUCAUACCACAAAGUCAUAGGGAUUCACGUUAGAUCAAAAGAUGAGAAUUUGUACGAAUGCAUAGAGAAUCUGGAGUGGGUGUUACGCUAUCUAGGAUAGCAUACUAGUUGGCAUGGAGGCAUUGCUUAUGCAAUUCAGUUUGGUGACGAUGGUUCCUAACCAUCAGAAGACAAAUGGCUUUCUCAUGCCUGGUUGGUUCUUCAUUAAUACAAAAUAAAGUCCAUUUGUUUCCCUACCUGAGAGGAAGGGAAUUCUAUUUUUUUUUCUAUGUAACUAUAUUGAUUGUUCAGUAUAUCGAUAUAGAAGAAAAAAAUAUACUCAUUUUUUUCAGAAGCUGUGAGAACCACACAACAGACAGGAAACUCAGCUGUUAACUGUUAAUGACCUACAAAGAUAUUACAGGGUUAUACAAAAGUUUAUCUAA
This is a long non-coding RNA of Glycine soja, 779 nucleotides long. RefSeq lists it as uncharacterized. NCBI's taxonomy places the organism in Eukaryota, Viridiplantae, Streptophyta, Magnoliopsida, Fabales, Fabaceae. The record is from RefSeq and is a predicted model, not a curated record. The transcript is spliced from 4 exons.